Molecule: small nucleolar RNA, 136 nt
Organism: Apteryx haastii (Great spotted kiwi)
Lineage: Eukaryota; Metazoa; Chordata; Aves; Apterygiformes; Apterygidae
Source: Ensembl
UCCCUCCCGAUCCCUUUCCCAUCAGAUCUGAAUACCGAUCUUGUGGUCGAAAAAGGAGGAAAAGUAGAAUGCAAACUGGUCUCGGCCUCUUUGCUGGUACAGUCUUGCUCUGAGAAGGGCCAGUUUGAAGACAUUG